Molecule: transfer RNA, 72 nt
Organism: Camelus ferus (Wild Bactrian camel)
Lineage: Eukaryota; Metazoa; Chordata; Mammalia; Artiodactyla; Camelidae
Rfam family: tRNA
About the family: Transfer RNA (tRNA) molecules are approximately 80 nucleotides in length. Their secondary structure includes four short double-helical elements and three loops (D, anti-codon, and T loops). Further hydrogen bonds mediate the characteristic L-shaped molecular structure. tRNAs have two regions of fundamental functional importance: the anti-codon, which is responsible for specific mRNA codon recognition, and the 3' end, to which the tRNAs corresponding amino acid is attached (by aminoacyl-tRNA synthetases). tRNAs cope with the degeneracy of the genetic code in two manners: having more than one tRNA (with a specific anti-codon) for a particular amino acid; and 'wobble' base-pairing, i.e. permitting non-standard base-pairing at the 3rd anti-codon position.
Source: Rfam
GGGUAUAUAGCUCAGCGGUAGAAUGUGUGCUUAGCAUGCACAAGGUCCUGGGUUCAAUCCCCAGUACCUCCA